GACGAACGCUGGCGGCGUGCUUAACACAUGCAAGUCGAACGGAAAGGCCCUGCUUUUGUGGGGUGCUCGAGUGGCGAACGGGUGAGUAACACGUGAGUAACCUGCCCUUGACUUUGGGAUAACUUCAGGAAACUGGGGCUAAUACCGGAUAUGAGCUCCUGCUGCAUGGUGGGGGUUGGAAAGUUUCGGCGGUUGGGGAUGGACUCGCGGCUUAUCAGCUUGUUGGUGGGGUAGUGGCUUACCAAGGCUUUGACGGGUAGCCGGCCUGGGAGGGUGACCGGCCACAGAGGGACAGGGGUACGGCCCAGACGGAAACGGGAGGCAGGGGUGGAGAAUAUUGAAAAAUGGGCGGAAGCCGGAUGCAGGAACGCCGCGUGGGGGAGGACGGCCUUCGGGUUGUAAACCGCGUGCGCCUGUGACGAAGCGUGAGUGACGGGAAUGGGUAAAGAAGCAGCGGUUAACUACGU
Molecule: ribosomal RNA, 467 nt
Filed under: uncultured bacterium
Lineage: Bacteria
Description: partial 16S ribosomal RNA
Rfam family: Bacterial small subunit ribosomal RNA
Source: RNAcentral